UUUCUCUGUUAGCCAACACAUCCCCGUUUUCCUAACAUGUUCUUUUAUCUACUUUAACCAUAGACCAGAAAUCACUUGUCUUCAUAGUUGUUGUUGCCUCCACAUCAACACACAGCAGAUAGAGAGAGGAGUAAGAGAGACAAAGUAGAGAGGUAGAGAGAACUGAGCGACUGUGAUUGAGGAACCGGCGCCAACCGCCGUUGAGGAAGCGGGAACUGUUGUUACGACGUCACCAACUGCCUCCGACUGAACCAGAGUCUGUGAUGACGACGGCGAGUUCUAGAGUCCCGAUCUCUCAAUUGGUCGCCGGUUGUGGCUUCUCGAUGGUGGUCGGCCGGUUAACGGGGAUAUCCGACAAUACCCACAAAAAACCACCGCUGGUGCUUUGACAUAGACAAUAAAUAAGGAGCGACAGAACACGUUGGUGAGCACUCCGGCAGUUCUUUCACUCCGGCGAUGGCGGUUUGGACCUGAACCAGGGACCGCUUGUCCUUGCACUGCCACUGCUUCCUCCUCCCUCUCCACCACACCACCGACUUCACUCCGGCGAUGGGCGGUUUGGAAUUGAAUCAGCGAGGUCGUCUCCUUCUUCCACUGCCGCUGCUUCCUCCUCCUUCUCCAGUGACAAUAGCAAAUGGUAAUCCUAUCAAUUGUGCUAAGAUGUGUAAAGGGUUUAAAUGGAUGAUGCAUGGUAUGUGGUUUGAUGCUGAUGUGUUGUUAACAUCUCUAGAAAACUAUGCAUGAUAUGGUACUAGGAAUUUAGUGGUUAUCACCCUUAGGGGAUAUCAUAUAGAAUUUUAAGCAACUGACUAUUGAAAUUCAAGUUGAUGGGUUAAGUAGUUGUUAAAAGGGGUUUAUUGCUAAUGGGGUCAGUUUAUGUUCAAUAGAAAAAAUGGAUCAAUUGUUAAGUUUUCCAAAUCAGUGGAUUCGUUCACAGAUGUUUAGUUUACAAUUAACGAUGGAGGGAUAAAACAUCCAAAGUACAAGUGACAGUGUGACACCAAAGAGUUAGUGGACCCUUAAGUAGCGGCCUUACUUUAACAAUAUUAAGAUGUGUUUGAUGAGCCUAAAGGCUUACCACCAUCAAAGAAUUAUGAUCAUAGGAUCAUUCUUAAAAAUGAAGACAUAAAUAUCAACCUAAAAUCCUAUAGAUAUUAGUCUAUUCAGAAAGAUGUAAUUGAAAAGAUGACAAAUGAGAUGUUGGAAUAUGGAGUAUGUUCAUUUUAUGGCUUUAUGUCAUCCUUUUUUUUGCUGCAACUUUAGCUCAAGCUUCUUAGAAAAUGUGUAUAAACUACAUUGCUAUAUAAUAAACUUCUUCAACGUAUACAAAAGGAUUCACAAUUUAACAUAAAGUGUUAAAAUCAUAACGGAAGACAGUCAGUUUGGUUCACUUUCCAGAAUAUACAAAACUGUAACCGAAUCACAAAAUCUGUUUUCAGAAAAUACAAAACUCAACUGUCGAUUAUAUGUAUUGUUCCGUUAUGCCAAGUUAAUAUGGUUUCGGUUCGGUCCUUUUUUUUCAGUUUUCUACAAGCUCAGUCUUGGAAUGCAUUUCAAACAUACAGUUGUAAAUAUUGGGUGUAAUAUCAAAUGUUGUAAUAUGUGGAUUCUAAAUUUGAUAUUUAUAAGUAUAAAUUCUUUUUGAUGGUUAUAGAUAGUCCUUAUCGUGUAUGAAAAUUUUGGAUUUGAUCCCUAACUUUUUAAAAGUACACGGACGGUCAUAGUGGUUUGCACUUUAUAACGUAUUUAGUACUCAACUCAGCCAAAAGUCACAUGAAUGGUCCCCGUGGUUUGCAUUUUAUAACGCAAUUAGUUCCUAAUUUGGACCUGCUGAAACCUUUGACAUGUUGGCUAGAGACUAUAUGCGUUACAAAGUGCAAACCACAUGGACCAUUUGUGUUCUUUUGAAAAGCAAAUGAUCAAAUCGAUGGUGUUUCUUUUGUUGAGAAGUGGCGGUGUUCUUUAAACACAUUGCAGGUAUAUAACAUUUCAAAUUUUCUUUCCCCUGGUUGAUAAUAUCUGUUCAAUAAGUGUUUGUGUUUUCGUGAUUACAGUAGAUGUUAGGGAUUUGUUUUGAAACCUUUUGUUUUGUCGAUGUGUUUCAUCUUUUAUGCAAUUAGCUUUAAUUUUAUUGGAAUUCAUAUAUUUUUGCUUUUAAUCAUGGUUGUAAAAGUCCCGACUAGGCUCCGAGUACUCCCCGAGUACUCGCUACAAGGUAGGUUGCCGAGGCACGAGUACUCUUCUCCCAGGCCAAUUACUCCCCGAGUACUCCCGAAUACUCCCGAGUACCUCCCGAGUACUCCCGAGAUUAAAUGAGGCAAAGGAAAAUUUAUAGUUAUAAGUGUCGUUUGUCAUCGUCGCACCUAUUAUCGCCGGUCAACGACCGCAACAACAAUCUUAGAUUAGUAGAUUAUUGUAUCACCAAGUAGACAUGGGUUGAGUCUGUGUGAACUGAUUACAUACGUGUAACAUAUAACCAGGGCUGGCUCAGCCAUUUUGUCAGACCAAAGCGAAAAAAGAAAUUGGGGCCCUUCCCCAAGGUGAGUUCAUCUACAUUUAUGGGUUUAUCUACCAUAACUAAUUCAUUAUCUUUUAUGUUUGCUACGAAUAUGAGUAAAAAAACCUUUUUUGUGGUUCCAUUUUAGUUUCUAAUUUUUGUUUGUUUUUCCUUUUUAUUGACAAAGCUCUAUUUGAUACUUUUGAUUUUGAUUAGAAUCAAAUAAUCAAUUUACUAUUAACAAGGGAAACAUUGGCGGAAACAUACAGACUGAUGGUCUUAUAUACAUGAGUGUUAUAUGUGGUGUGUAGAUACCGCCGCAACUCGCAUUUCAGCAGCAUGAAUGAUAGAAUCUGCCUCAAAUGCUAGAUGGUAAUAUCACAGUCCAGUCUAUUCAGAUGUAGAGGCAAAGAUGAGGCGUUUUUUGGUUGAUUUGGAGUCCAAAUGUGCAUCACUAUGAAAAACAAACUUUUUUAUGAUUGGAUAUACUGAUCAGUAUGACUACUACAAAGCUAUUCGUUGCACUAUAUAUACUUUUAUGCUUUUUAGUUCAGGUUUGUGUGUACAAAGACUGGACAAGUGAUAAUCGAUACCACAACUGGAAUACUGGGAAAUGGUAGCGCUUUUUCAUGUUCAAAAGGGAUUACUUCUUGAACACAAACCCGAAGAAGCAGCCGCAAUAAUUCAGUUAGAUUAUAGUGGGAUUCAUUUUGUAUAACUUCGUUUUGUACAUCCUUGACAUAUAGGCUAGGCGAUGCGACUAUGGAAUGUUGAUGUAACAAACACUUGGUUUAUCGAGUAUGAUACAUAUGAAUGAAUCCCCGCCGCAUCGCAGCGGGUGUUAAAUCCUAGUUAAAUAUAA
Molecule: long non-coding RNA, 3359 nt
Organism: Helianthus annuus (common sunflower)
Lineage: Eukaryota; Viridiplantae; Streptophyta; Magnoliopsida; Asterales; Asteraceae
Exons: 2
Source: RefSeq, a predicted model, not a curated record